GGGGGUGUCUGAUGAAUCUUGCUGGGGCCUCCAAAUCUCGUGACUCACACAGCUGAGAAGGAGACACAGACCCCACUUAAAUGUAAUUAAUUAAUAGAAAUUUAUU
This 106-nucleotide microRNA precursor is filed under the name Otolemur garnettii (small-eared galago). RNAcentral describes it as "miRNA (ENSOGAG00000021375.2)". The record is from RNAcentral. Lineage: Eukaryota; Metazoa; Chordata; Mammalia; Primates; Galagidae.